RNAcentral lists this ribosomal RNA (541 nucleotides) under Stenotrophomonas maltophilia. RNAcentral describes it as "bacterial SSU rRNA". It matches the Rfam family "Bacterial small subunit ribosomal RNA", at positions 53 to 583 of the family's 1533-position model. Lineage: Bacteria; Pseudomonadati; Pseudomonadota; Gammaproteobacteria; Lysobacterales; Lysobacteraceae. The record is from RNAcentral.
ACAUGCAAGUCGAGCGGCAGCACAGGAGAGCUUGCUCUCUGGGUGGCGAGUGGCGGACGGGUGAGGAAUACAUCGGAAUCUACUCUGUCGUGGGGGAUAACGUAGGGAAACUUACGCUAAUACCGCAUACGACCUACGGGUGAAAGCAGGGGACCUUCGGGCCUUGCGCGAUUGAAUGAGCCGAUGUCGGAUUAUCUAGUUGGCGGGGUAAAGGCCCACCAAGGCGACGAUCCGUAGCUGGUCUGAGAGGAUGAUCAGCCACACUGGAACUGAGACACGGUCCAGACUCCUACGGGAGGCAGCAGUGGGGAAUAUUGGACAAUGGGCGCAAGCCUGAUCCAGCCAUACCGCGUGGGUGAAGAAGGCCUUCGGGUUGUAAAGCCCUUUUGUUGGGAAAGAAAUCCAGCUGGCUAAUACCCGGUUGGGAUGACGGUACCCAAAGAAUAAGCACCGGCUAACUUCGUGCCAGCAGCCGCGGUAAUACGAAGGGUGCAAGCGUUACUCGGAAUUACUGGGCGUACAGCGUGCGUAGGUGGUCGUU